This 372-nucleotide ribosomal RNA is filed under the name uncultured organism. Its description in RNAcentral is "bacterial SSU rRNA". It matches the Rfam family "Bacterial small subunit ribosomal RNA", at positions 526 to 896 of the family's 1533-position model. The record is from RNAcentral.
CGUAGGGUGCGAGCGUUAAUCGGAAUUACUGGGCGUAAAGCGUGCGCAGGCGGUUUUGUAAGACAGGCGUGAAAUCCCCGGGCUCAACCUGGGAACUGCGCUCGUGACUGCAAGGCUAGAGUACGGCAGAGGGGGGUGGAAUUCCACGUGUAGCAGUGAAAUGCGUAGAGAUGUGGAGGAACACCAAUGGCGAAGGCAGCCCCCUGGGUCGAUACUGACGCUCAUGCACGAAAGCGUGGGUAGCAAACAGGAUUAGAUACCCUGGUAGUCCACGCCCUAAACGAUGUCAACUAGGUGUUGGGUGGGUAAAACCAUUUAGUACCGGAGCUAACGCGUGAAGUUGACCGCCUGGGGAGUACGGCCGCAAGGUUA